This is a long non-coding RNA of Pongo pygmaeus (Bornean orangutan), 1238 nucleotides long. RefSeq lists it as uncharacterized. The transcript has 4 exons. Lineage: Eukaryota; Metazoa; Chordata; Mammalia; Primates; Hominidae. The record is from RefSeq and is a predicted model, not a curated record.
GGUGAGUGCGGCCGGGACGGGACCCGAGGCUGACGACGGGACCUAAGGCAGUGGGCGGGCCCUUGGCGAUGAACGCAGUCGGGGACUAAAGCUGGACGCGGGGCAGGGGAGGGUCCUCCUCGAAUAGUGAGCGCGGUCUCCAGCGGCGAGCAAGGCCUGGGUGUCACCUGCAGGAUGCCAUGGGAUACCCACGAGCCCAGGCAAAUCUCCCAAGACCUUGCCAAGCCAAUCUCCAGGGCUGCUCCGGGUCCUGCCCCAGGUGCUGUGUGAGGGAGCUGCGCCGCCUGUGCCCAACCCAGGAGGGGAGCAGCGUGCAGGACACCGAGGAUGUCAUCACGACCUUAGGAUGGGGCGCAGCCCCAGCCAGAUGGCGUCCGACUCUCCAGCCAAUGGCAGCUCACCCUGUUGUGGUUUGAUUUUCCCUACACAAUUAAUACAUAUUCAUCGUGGAGAAAAUAGGAGAUAAAGAUAAGCAAAAAGGAGAAGCCAAAUCAAUGGAAUCCCCAUCAUACAGAGAUACUUUCUUAACACUUUGGAUUAAUUUGUGUCCUAUCAAUAUUUUUCUAUACCUGAAAAUAGGUGUUUUACGUGUAUAAUCACUAACAUGUAAAUACAUACUGCACAUGGAUGUGCAUUUUCACAUACAUUUUUGGUUUUUUGAGACAGAGUUUCACUCUUGUCACCCAGGCUGGAGUGCAGUGGCGCAAUCUUGGCUCAAUGGAACCUCUGCCUCCUGGGUUCAAGUGAUUCUCCUGCCUCAGCCUCCCGAGUAGCUGGGAUUACAGGCGUGCACCAUCACGCCCCACUAAUUUUUUGUAUUUUUAGUAGAGAUGGGGUUUCACUAUGCUGGCCAGGAUGGUCACAAACUCCUGACCUCAGGUGAUCCGCCCACCUCGGCCUCCCAAAGUGCUAAGAUUACAGGCAUGAGCCACCGUGCCCGGCCUUUUUAUUUUUAUUUUUAUUUUUUGAGAUGGAGCCUGGCUCUGUCCCCCGGACUGGAGUGCAGUGGUGUGAUCCUGGUUCACUGCAACCUCCACCUCCUGGGUUCAAGUGAUUCUCCCGCCUCAGCUUCCCAAGUCACUGGGAUCACAGAUGUGCACCACCAUGCCCAGGGACCCCGGGCAGCACGUGGUAGGACCAGCUUUCAGGUUGUCCUCCUGGGACCCCAGAGCUCUGAAGGAUCCUCUUCUUGGACCUCCUCCCCAACCGUGCCCAGCCACCUCAGUCAUCCAAGAGGU